Molecule: non-coding RNA, 72 nt
Organism: Pangasius djambal
Lineage: Eukaryota; Metazoa; Chordata; Actinopteri; Siluriformes; Pangasiidae
Source: the annotation of a GenBank genome assembly
GCCUGUGGUAGCACAGUGGUUAAGGCAUUCAACUACAGACUGGAAGUUUGAGUUCAAAUCCCAGCACUGUCA